This 82-nucleotide transfer RNA is filed under the name Parascardovia denticolens. RNAcentral's name for it is "tRNA-Tyr(gta)". It matches the Rfam family "tRNA". From Rfam's summary of the family: Transfer RNA (tRNA) molecules are approximately 80 nucleotides in length. Their secondary structure includes four short double-helical elements and three loops (D, anti-codon, and T loops). RNAcentral also lists the same sequence under 3 other names. Lineage: Bacteria; Bacillati; Actinomycetota; Actinomycetes; Bifidobacteriales; Bifidobacteriaceae. The record is from RNAcentral.
GGCGGAUUUCCCAAGCGGUCAAAGGGAGCUGACUGUAAAUCAGCCGCUACUAGCUUCAGUGGUUCGAAUCCACUAUCCGCCA